RNAcentral lists this ribosomal RNA (21 nucleotides) under Beta vulgaris subsp. maritima. Lineage: Eukaryota; Viridiplantae; Streptophyta; Magnoliopsida; Caryophyllales; Amaranthaceae. The record is from RNAcentral.
GGUGCGAUCAUACCAGCACUA